AAUUCCAGGCACAGAGAAUUUAGCUAAUACCGAUAAUAAACACGAAGUGUAAAACUGUCUGAAUUGUUUAUGAGAUUAUAUUGAACAUUACACAAGGCAACAAAACCUCUGCCAUCAAGAUCCUUCAAUACAAAGGCUAUCAGGGAAACAUUCAAAUACUCUGUUAUCAUCUUUGCCAUCAGAGGAGCAUGAUCCAGCAGUUUAAAUUCUGGCUUGGGGUUUACAAGAUGUGGCUGUAACACCCUGCUCUGCCAGUGCAUUUCCAUAUCACUUUGAGCAAGUCAUUGAAGGUCACCUCCAAUCAAGGAUCUGGGGGUGAGAAAUCAAGACGGCUUCUAGUCAUGCACCACAAAGCUUAAAAAGUACCUGAUUUCAGUGAAAUGAAAAAAAGAAAUGGAACUAAAAACAGUAGGCAAGGGAAAGAGAUGUCUCAGAAACAUGAACCACAAGAAAACUUACUCUGAGCAUGAAGAUGCCUAGAGAAAGCUAAUGGUAAAUGCUGUGUCCCAGGAGUGAUCAAAACUCUGACGUCUUUUGGGAAGGCAGGCACACAGCCCACAGCUGCACCUCAUGCCUCCCUGCCAACUCAAAAGUCAGAGUCCAGAGUCCUCUUCUGAAUGCAAAAGUUCAAAUAAUAGCCCAGAGCUCACACUCCCCAAAAUACAACAGGCAGGUAUUGCCUUAUUACUCUCCCUUUAUCCUUGCCCUUGCCAGACCACAACCAAGAAGCAGUGCUGGACUAUUCUUAGCUGGAGAAAGUACUAACCCUCAUCUCCCAUGACCAGCAAGGCUGGUACAGGUUGAUGCAUGUGGCAAGUCAGACGCCCAGUGCAGUUAGCUUACUCCUGAAAGAGCCAUCAAUUCUGUGUGCAGGCACUUCACCAUAUAAUAAUGGCUAUCGAAAUAAAGCAGUGGAGAAGCAA
Molecule: long non-coding RNA, 923 nt
Organism: Aquila chrysaetos chrysaetos
Lineage: Eukaryota; Metazoa; Chordata; Aves; Accipitriformes; Accipitridae
Exons: 2
Source: RefSeq, a predicted model, not a curated record